This 213-nucleotide long non-coding RNA is filed under the name Elaeis guineensis (African oil palm). RNAcentral's name for it is "long non-coding RNA (EGUI_LNC032039)". Lineage: Eukaryota; Viridiplantae; Streptophyta; Magnoliopsida; Arecales; Arecaceae. The record is from RNAcentral.
UUUUCUAGAGCAUACAAGUAAGAUAAAGUAGAAUCUAGUAUUAAACCAUCAUGACAAAGUAUUAAUACCUUUGGAGACUCUGAGGACAUCUACUGCCAAAGAACUCCCAUUGUAAGCAUGAUCGCUCCCCUUCUUCUUCCAUCAAGAAUUAUCCUAUUUCACAUGGACAAUUUCUUUGCACUUAUAACAUUGAACACCCCUUCUGUUGACCAU